RNAcentral lists this non-coding RNA (28 nucleotides) under Rattus norvegicus (Norway rat). The record is from RNAcentral. Lineage: Eukaryota; Metazoa; Chordata; Mammalia; Rodentia; Muridae.
UACUUACUAUGUUCUGUCUUUGUGUGUU